ACCGAAUUCAGACAAACUCCGAAUGCCAAUUAAUUUAACUUGGGAGUCAGAACAUGGGUGAUAAGGUCCGUGUUCGAAAGGGAAACAGCCCAGACCACCAGCUAAGGUCCCAAAAUAUAUGUUAAGUGGAAAAGGAUGUGGCGUUGCCCAGACAACUAGGAUGUUGGCUUAGAAGCAGCCAUCAUUUAAAGAGUGCGUAAUAGCUCACUAGUCGAGUGACACUGCGCCGAAAAUGUACCGGGGCUAAACAUAUUACCGAAGCUGUGGAUUGUCCUUUGGACAAUGGUAGGAGAGCGUUCUAAGGGCGUUGAAGCAUGAUCGUAAGGACAUGUGGAGCGCUUAGAAGUGAGAAUGCCGGUGUGAGUAGCGAAAGACGGGUGAGAAUCCCGUCCACCGAUUGACUAAGGUUUCCAGAGGAAGGCUCGUCCGCUCUGGGUUAGUCGGGUCCUAAGCUGAGGCCGACAGGCGUAGGCGAUGGAUAACAGGUUGAUAUUCCUGUACCACCUAUAAUCGUUUUAAUCGAUGGGGGGACGCAGUAGGAUAGGCGAAGCGUGCGAUUGGAUUGCACGUCUAAGCAGUAAGGCUGAGUAUUAGGCAAAUCCGGUACUCGUUAAGGCUGAGCUGUGAUGGGGAGAAGACAUUGUGUCUUCGAGUCGUUGAUUUCACACUGCCGAGAAAAGCCUCUAGAUAGAAAAUAGGUGCCCGUACCGCAAACCGACACAGGUAGUCAAGAUGAGAAUUCUAAGGUGAGCGAGCGAACUCUCGUUAAGGAACUCGGCAAAAUGACCCCGUAACUUCGGGAGAAGGGGUGCUCUUUAGGGUUAACGCCCAGAAGAGCCGCAGUGAAUAGGCCCAAGCGACUGUUUAUCAAAAACACAGGUCUCUGCUAAACCGUAAGGUGAUGUAUAGGGGCUGACGCCUGCCCGGUGCUGGAAGGUUAAGAGGAGUGGUUAGCUUCUGCGAAGCUACGAAUCGAAGCCCCAGUAAACGGCGGCCGUAACUAUAACGGUCCUAAGGUAGCGAAAUUCCUUGUCGGGUAAGUUCCGACCCGCACGAAAGGCGUAACGAUUUGGGCACUGUCUCAACGAGAGACUCGGUGAAAUCAUAGUACCUGUGAAGAUGCAGGUUACCCGCGACAGGACGGAAAGACCCCGUGGAGCUUUACUGUAGCCUGAUAUUGAAAUUCGGCACAGCUUGUACAGGAUAGGUAGGAGCCUUUGAAACGUGAGCGCUAGCUUACGUGGAGGCGCUGGUGGG
Molecule: ribosomal RNA, 1257 nt
Filed under: Staphylococcus aureus
Lineage: Bacteria; Bacillati; Bacillota; Bacilli; Caryophanales; Staphylococcaceae
Description: partial 23S ribosomal RNA
Rfam family: Bacterial large subunit ribosomal RNA
Source: RNAcentral